UUUCAACAGAUUGCAUGGUUACAAACAUUUACUCUUCCUUCGACAGUUUCUAUUGCUGCAAAUAAGACAUUAAGUGCAGCACAGAUAAUUAUGAGUGGUGCAAAACUGACUACAUCUUCUUUCUUUUGGUUCUUCAGACAGUAUUGGUGCCCCAAUUUUCUCUCCCAUAAUAUGUGUUUGUUGCUGUAAAUGAGACAUAACCAGCAGAAGAGUUAAUUUUGGGUAGUACAGAACUAUCUACAUCUUCUCUUCUUUUACAGGUUCAUCAGAUUGCAUGAUUGGUAACAUUUGCUCUCCUAUCGACUGUGUUUGUUGUUGCAAAUGAGACAUUACCUGCAGGAGAGAUAUUUAUGAGCAGUGCAGAGCCAACUACAUCUUUUUUCUUUUGAUUGCAUGGUUGCAAACAUUUACUCUUCUUUGGACUGUGUCUGUUGUUGCAAAUGAGACAUUACAUGCAGAAGAGAUUAUUAUGCUUGCUGCAGAACUAACUAC
This is a long non-coding RNA of Schistocerca americana (American grasshopper), 492 nucleotides long. RefSeq lists it as uncharacterized. NCBI's taxonomy places the organism in Eukaryota, Metazoa, Arthropoda, Insecta, Orthoptera, Acrididae. The record is from RefSeq and is a predicted model, not a curated record. The transcript has 4 exons.